CAGCAGCCACGGUAAUACGAAGGGGGCUAGCGUUGUUCGGAAUUACUGGGCGUAAAGCGCACGUAGGCGGAUAUUUAAGUCAGGGGUGAAAUCCCAGAGCUCAACUCUGGAACUGCCUUUGAUACUGGGUAUCUUGAGUAUGGAAGAGGUGAGUGGAAUUCCGAGUGUAGAGGUGAAAUUCGUAGAUAUUCGGAGGAACACCAGUGGCGAAGGCGGCUCACUGGUCCAUUACUGACGCUGAGGUGCGAAAGCGUGGGGAGCAAACAGGAUUAGAUACCCCGGUAGUCCCUGUCUCUUAUAC
Molecule: ribosomal RNA, 301 nt
Filed under: uncultured bacterium
Lineage: Bacteria
Description: partial 16S ribosomal RNA
Rfam family: Bacterial small subunit ribosomal RNA
Source: RNAcentral